RNAcentral lists this ribosomal RNA (453 nucleotides) under uncultured Porphyromonadaceae bacterium. RNAcentral's name for it is "partial 16S ribosomal RNA". It matches the Rfam family "Bacterial small subunit ribosomal RNA", at positions 341 to 792 of the family's 1533-position model. The record is from RNAcentral. Lineage: Bacteria; Pseudomonadati; Bacteroidota; Bacteroidia; Bacteroidales; Porphyromonadaceae.
ACGGAAGGCAGCAGUGAGGAAUAUUGGUCAAUGGGCGGAAGCCUGAACCAGCCAAGCCGCGUGAAGGAAGACGGUAUUAUGUAUUGUAAACUUCUUUAGGCGCAGAGAAAUAAGCUCCACGCGUGGAGUGAUGCUAGUAUGCGCAGAAUAAGGAUCGGCUAACUCCGUGCCAGCAGCCGCGGUAAUACGGAGGAUCCGAGCGUUAUCCGGAUUUAUUGGGUUUAAAGGGUGCGCAGGCGGUUUGUUAAGUCAGCGGUUAAAUAGUGGAGCUCAACUCCAUCCCGCCGUUGAUACUGGCAGACUUGAUUGCGGUCGAGGUUGGCGGAAUUCGCCGUGUAGCGGUGAAAUGCAUAGAUAUGGCGAAGAACUCCGAUUGCGUAGGCAGCUGACCAGGCCGUAAAUGACGCUCAUGCACGAAAGUGCGGGGAUCGAACAGGAUUAGAUACCCUGGUA